RNAcentral lists this small nuclear RNA (190 nucleotides) under Castor canadensis (American beaver). RNAcentral's name for it is "U2 spliceosomal RNA (ENSCCNG00000002105.1)". It matches the Rfam family "U2 spliceosomal RNA". Rfam says of the family: U2 is a small nuclear RNA (snRNA) component of the spliceosome (involved in pre-mRNA splicing). Complementary binding between U2 snRNA (in an area lying towards the 5' end but 3' to hairpin I) and the branchpoint sequence (BPS) of the intron results the bulging out of an unpaired adenosine, on the BPS, which initiates a nucleophilic attack at the intronic 5' splice site, thus starting the first of two transesterification reactions that mediate splicing. Lineage: Eukaryota; Metazoa; Chordata; Mammalia; Rodentia; Castoridae. The record is from Rfam by way of RNAcentral.
AUCACUUCUUGGCCUUUUGGCUAAGAUGAAGUGCAGUAUCUGUUCUUAUCAGUUUAAUAGCUCAUAUGUCCUCUCUCCGAGGACAAUAUAUUAAAUGGAUUUUUAGAACACGGAGAUGGAACAGGAUUUGCUCCAUCCACUCCACACAUCGACCUGGUACUACAGUAACUCCAGGAACGGUGCACCACCU